GGCUGCAACACAGGACAU
This 18-nucleotide microRNA is filed under the name Oryzias latipes (Japanese medaka). RNAcentral's name for it is "ola-miR-187". Its record names the gene ola-miR-187. Lineage: Eukaryota; Metazoa; Chordata; Actinopteri; Beloniformes; Adrianichthyidae. The record is from miRBase by way of RNAcentral.